This 285-nucleotide ribosomal RNA is filed under the name uncultured Peptoniphilus sp. RNAcentral describes it as "partial 16S ribosomal RNA". It matches the Rfam family "Bacterial small subunit ribosomal RNA", at positions 73 to 355 of the family's 1533-position model. Lineage: Bacteria; Bacillati; Bacillota; Tissierellia; Tissierellales; Peptoniphilaceae. The record is from RNAcentral.
GGGGUGAAGAUAAGACGGAUUAGCGGCGGACGGGUGAGUAACACGUGAGUAACCUGCCUUUUACACAGGGAUAGCCUCGGGAAACCGGGAUUAAAACCUGAUGAAACUAUCAAAUCACAUGAUUAAGAAAGUUAAAACUCCGGUGGUAAAAGAUGGACUCGCGUCCCAUUAGCUAGUUGGUGAAGGUAACGGCCCACCAAGGCAACGAUGGGUAGCCGGCCUGAGAGGGUGAACGGCCACAUUGGAACUGAGAAACGGUCCAAACUCCUACGGGAGGCAGCAGCU